Molecule: ribosomal RNA, 750 nt
Filed under: Bacillus sp. (in: firmicutes)
Lineage: Bacteria; Bacillati; Bacillota; Bacilli; Caryophanales; Bacillaceae
Description: bacterial SSU rRNA
Rfam family: Bacterial small subunit ribosomal RNA
Source: RNAcentral
GACAGUCGAGCGACUGAUUAGAAGCUUGCUUCUAUGACGUUAGCGGCGGACGGGUGAGUAACACGUGGGCAACCUGCCUGUAAGACUGGGAUAACUUCGGGAAACCGAAGCUAAUACCGGAUAGGAUCUUCUCCUUCAUGGGAGAUGAUUGAAAGAUGGUUUCGGCUAUCACUUACAGAUGGGCCCGCGGUGCAUUAGCUAGUUGGUGAGGUAACGGCUCACCAAGGCAACGAUGCAUAGCCGACCUGAGAGGGUGAUCGGCCACACUGGGACUGAGACACGGCCCAGACUCCUACGGGAGGCAGCAGUAGGGAAUCUUCCGCAAUGGACGAAAGUCUGACGGAGCAACGCCGCGUGAGUGAUGAAGGCUUUCGGGUCGUAAAACUCUGUUGUUAGGGAAGAACAAGUACGAGAGUAACUGCUCGUACCUUGACGGUACCUAACCAGAAAGCCACGGCUAACUACGUGCCAGCAGCCGCGGUAAUACGUAGGUGGCAAGCGUUAUCCGGAAUUAUUGGGCGUAAAGCGCGCGCAGGCGGUUUCUUAAGUCUGAUGUGAAAGCCCACGGCUCAACCGUGGAGGGUCAUUGGAAACUGGGGAACUUGAGUGCAGAAGAGAAAAGCGGAAUUCCACGUGUAGCGGUGAAAUGCGUAGAGAUGUGGAGGAACACCAGUGGCGAAAGCGGCUUUUUGGUCUGUAACUGACGCUGAGCGCGAAAGCGUGGGGAGCAAACAGAUUAGAUACCCUGGU